AGGCCAACAAGCUCAUUCCACCCCUCUCUCAGGCGUUAGGCAGCAGCAGCAGGAAGGCGGGAGAAGGUAGCAGCAGGAGCAGCACCGGCGUGCGGGGCAGCAGCAGCGCCGCCGCGCCACUCGGCGCGCUGGUAGCAGCCCCGCUGCGCGCACGCGAGGCCCUCAGGUUCGUGGGCUUCCUGGAGGAGAGGAGCUCUGUGUGCGCAAGCUAGGAGGAAGAAAAGACGGUGCGGGAAGAAGCCUGGUCCAGUUAUGUGAUUUGGGUUGCUAAGAGCACAAGCGAGGAUAUGUUCCCGUUCUUUGCUUGCUGAAAACUUGAUGGAAUAAGAGUUGCCGUGAUUGUGGUGAACACGGGCAGCAAGGAGUGUUAGUUGGCAUCGCUCUAGGAGAUGGAUCCAUUGAAAGGGGUUGAGGAAUCAUCGCUGGUCACUAAAGGCGAGAUGAAAAGCCUACUACAAGACUUGAUAGCUACUGGGAUGAUGGGGCCUAGAAUAGGAGGGGCAUCACCUGAAAUAAAGCUAGAGCAAAUGCCGAAUGAAGUUAAGUUGGAGGAGAGCCAAAAUUACUUGAGCUGGUCUAGAAGGACAAGAUUGAUGUUGAGGGCAAAAGGGGUAGAACACUAUUUGGAGGAAACUUGUAUUGAACCAGAUGACAAGCUUAGUGUGGACUGGAAGGUGUGGAAUUCCACCAACUCUACGGUGGCAACAUGGUUAAUGACCUCAGUGGCUCCAUCCAUUGCGAGGAUGGUGGAGACAAUUUCUAAUGCAUCAACUGUGUGGAAGACAUUGAGCAAAAUGUACUCAGGGGAAGACAAUGCAAUGAUGAUGGUUGAGGCUCAAGACAAGGUGGAGAACUUGAAGCAAGAGGGAAGAACUGUUCAAGAAUAUGCUAGUGAGUUGCAACAAUUAUGGGCAGAUUUGGAUCACUAUGAGAGGGGGACUGGGAGGAGGAUUGGGACUGGAGUCAGGCGCAAUGGGUUGUGGUACAUCAAUAAUGAAGAAGUAGGAUUGGCUGCAGUUGCAGGAAAUGCUGAGGAGAUUAUUUUGCUUCAUUGCCGGUUAGGACAUCCAUCAUUUGAUAACGUAAGUAAGCUAUAUCCAAUUCUCUUUAAUGGAGUGAACAAAAGUAGACUUGUCUGUGACGCUUGCGAAUUUGGCAAACAUACACGGACCCCAUAUGUUGGGAGUGGCCUCCGUAGUUAUGAACCCUUUAUAUUAAUACAUUAUGAUGUUUGGGGACCAUGGCCAGUUACUUUAGUGAGUGGAUUUAAGUGGUUUGUUUCCUUCAUUGAUUGUUACACUCGAAUGACUUGGAUUUAUGUACUUAAGCACAAGAAUGAUGUUCUUCGAUGCUUCCAAGAUUUUCAUAAAUUCAAAUCAGUUUGAUGCAAAUGUUCGAAUCAUUCGAACUGAUAAUGGGACUGAGUAUAUCAACAACGAAUUUGUCUCUUAUGUCUUGGAUCAAGGGAUCAUACAUCAAACCACUUGUCCUGGAACCCCUCCUCAAAAUGGUGUAGCUGAGAGGAAGAACCGACAUUUGUUGGAGGUGGCACGUUCACUUAUGUUUCAGAUGAAUGUACCCAAAUACUUGUGGAAGUGAUGACUGCUGCAUAUCUUAUUAAUCGCAUAUCUUGUGGAGAUGACAAGGAAGAAUGAUGGGGACCAAAUUAGGGAAUUUGCACGGGAGCAAGUUGAAGAGUCUGAACAACCUGAGCAUCCAGUCCAAGAAUCCUCCCCGUGCCUCUCUCCUCCAACUCCCUUGCCCCUCAUUGAAACGUCUGGUGAUGUUCCCCCUAUACUUGAACAAGUAGAAUUACCUCUUACACAACGUAGGGAAACUAGAAGUAAUGCUGGGAAACCUCCUAUACGUCUUGGCUUUGAACAUAUUAGCUCUAAGCAUGACAUUGCAAAUUAUAUCUCAUACUCCCACAUUUCACCUGCAUACAAAACUUUCAUUGCAUCAUUACAAGCAGUGCCUGUUCCGAAAGACUGGAGAUGUGCCAAGCAAGAUCCUAGGUGGAAAGAUGCAAUGAAGGAGGAGCUUCAUGCCCUUCAGGAGAACAAGACAUGGGAACUUGUGAGACUUCCACCAGGAAAAAGAGCAGUAAGAUGUAAGUGAGUAUUUACAGUAAAGCAAACUCCUGAAGGGAAGGUGGAUAGAUACAAAGCAAGAUCAAUUGCAAAAGGUUAUAGUCAAACUUAUGGGAUUGACUAUGAUGAAACAUUUGCUCCUGUGGCCAAGAUGGGUAUAGUGAGAGCUUUGGUGUCUUCUGCAGUUAACUUUGGAUGGCCUCUACAUCAGCUGGAUGUGAAAAAUGCUUUCCUUUAUGGUGAUCUACAAGAGGUCUAUAUGGAGAUUCCCCUUGGAUUUGGAAAUAACCAAACGGUAGGAAAGGUAUGUAAACUCAAGAGAUCAUUAUAUGGUUUGAAGCAGUCUCACGUGCAUGGUUUGAUAGAUUUAGGCGUGCACUAUGUGAGAUGGGAUAUUCCCAAUGCAAUGGAGAUCACACGGUUUUUUAUACACAUAAGGGUUCAUGUAUUACCAUCUUGGCAGUGUAUGCUGAUGAUAUAGUGAUCACCGGUGAUGAUGGGGGAAGAAAUUAGGUGCUUGAAGGAAAUGUUUGGAAAGACCUUUGAGGUGAAGGAUCUUGGACCUCUUCGAUACUUCCUUGGGAUUGAGAUUGCUCGGUCGUCAAAGGGAAUCGUUCUCUCCCAAGGGAAAUAUAUCCUUGAUCUAUUGGCAGAAACAUGAAUGCUUGGAUGUCGUUCAAGUGCUACACCAAUUGAUAAAAAUCA
Molecule: long non-coding RNA, 2795 nt
Organism: Oryza sativa Japonica Group (Japanese rice)
Lineage: Eukaryota; Viridiplantae; Streptophyta; Magnoliopsida; Poales; Poaceae
Source: RefSeq, a predicted model, not a curated record